GAGUGAGAGAGGGAAAGAGAGAGAGAGGGAGGGAGAGAGAGAGAGAGGGAGGGCUAGGUACACUGCUGCAGUAGACUCUCCAGCUCAGGUCUGACUGGCUGACUGCGCCGCUCCGCUCUGCAGGAGGACCAGCGAGAGAGAGAGCGAGAGAGCGAGAGAGCGAGAGAGGGAGAGAGCGAGGGAGGGAGGGAAAAACAGAGCAAGCACGAGAGAGGUCCUGAGAGUAGCUGUGCUUCAGCGGGACCUGCAGCAGCAGCAGCAGCAGCAGCAGCAGGAGGAGCAGGAGGAGCAGCAGGAGCAGGAGCACUGAGGCGAGAGAAGAGAAGAAGGAGAAGCAUCUCUGAUCUCCGGCACCCGUAGCCCAGCAGCGGCAGCAGCUGACCGGCGGACGCAAACAUGGCACAAGCCGCCAAACAUCUCCGCAAAAACAAGGACUUGGAGAUUGCGCUCGAGGCAGAGCGCAAGGAGAAGGAGGAGGAGAAAGCCAGGAGGAGGAACCGCUCCAGAGACAAGAAGCGCAAGGCCCAGGCGGUUCAGCGCUGGCUAACCCAUCAGGAGUGUAGUAGUGGCUCUGAGCUGCCGGAGGGACAGGGAGUGUGGGACUGUGAUGAUGAAACAGUAAAUAUCAGCAACACGUAUACCUGACUUUUCUUCUUAUUAAUAUCUAUAUAUAUAUAUAUCUGUGGCCACACUGUAUCUGUCUCUAGAUACGCUUGUUGUCGCUGUUGUUGUUGUUGUUGUUGUUGUUUUUCUGCUGUGCAGCUAAGUGUGUGGUUGUGUGUGUGUGUGUGUGUGUGUAGUGUGGUGUUCAGUUUUGGUGGGGUUCAGUGUUGCUGUUGUGCUGUGACUGGCUGACUUAACACGGUGGUGAUGUCUGGCUGGACACUUUUUUUUUUUUCUUCUGUUCUCUUUUUUUUUCGUAAACCACCUGGUCCUUUUCUUUUAAAAGCACUUUCUGUUUGGAUUUGACUUUUGGGUCGGUUGCUUUUCUGUGCUGUGACUUCUGUGUUCUGUGCGUUUCCACUUUGCCUCAGGUUCAUUUGAGGUGUGACCCAAAAAGAGUCCACAGGCAAAAUACAUUGCGAUACAUGUUUCAAUUUAUAAAACUAACAAACUUGUUUUAGCCAUACUACUUUGGAGACAGACUGGUGAAAAGGAAGGCAUAGUUAUUUUGCCUGUGGGAUCUUAACAUUUUUUAAAUAUUGAAACAUUUGUGAACAUGAUUGCGUGUAUUCCUCACAAUAAACAAUUGUGUGAAGUAUAUAUACGCUGUGUAGAGUGAAAUUAAGUUGACCCUUUAUUACAAGUGUUCCUGCAUGCUGUUGUUGUCAGUGUGUUAGUAUUUUAAUUCCAUGUCUGCAUGCUGUGUGUUUAGUGAGUGAUGUGCCAUUUGUGUUUUGUCACCAUCGGGG
Clupea harengus (Atlantic herring) is the source of this 1412-nucleotide long non-coding RNA. The record is from Ensembl. NCBI's taxonomy places the organism in Eukaryota, Metazoa, Chordata, Actinopteri, Clupeiformes, Clupeidae.